This 634-nucleotide ribosomal RNA is filed under the name Kitasatospora sp. Ri1Ps_4658. RNAcentral describes it as "bacterial SSU rRNA". It matches the Rfam family "Bacterial small subunit ribosomal RNA", at positions 382 to 1027 of the family's 1533-position model. The record is from RNAcentral. Lineage: Bacteria; Bacillati; Actinomycetota; Actinomycetes; Kitasatosporales; Streptomycetaceae.
CCUGAUGCAGCGACGCCGCGUGAGGGAUGACGGCCUUCGGGUUGUAAACCUCUUUCAGCAGGGAAGAAGCGCAAGUGACGGUACCUGCAGAAGAAGCACCGGCUAACUACGUGCCAGCAGCCGCGGUAAUACGUAGGGUGCGAGCGUUGUCCGGAAUUAUUGGGCGUAAAGAGCUCGUAGGCGGCCUGUCGCGUCGGAUGUGAAAGCCCGGGGCUUAACCCCGGGUCUGCAUUCGAUACGGGCAGGCUAGAGUGUGGUAGGGGAGAUCGGAAUUCCUGGUGUAGCGGUGAAAUGCGCAGAUAUCAGGAGGAACACCGGUGGCGAAGGCGGAUCUCUGGGCCAUUACUGACGCUGAGGAGCGAAAGCGUGGGGAGCGAACAGGAUUAGAUACCCUGGUAGUCCACGCCGUAAACGUUGGGAACUAGGUGUUGGCGACAUUCCACGUCGUCGGUGCCGCAGCUAACGCAUUAAGUUCCCCGCCUGGGGAGUACGGCCGCAAGGCUAAAACUCAAAGGAAUUGACGGGGGCCCGCACAAGCAGCGGAGCAUGUGGCUUAAUUCGACGCAACGCGAAGAACCUUACCAAGGCUUGACAUAUACCGGAAACGGCUAGAGAUAGUCGCCCCCUUGUGGUC